UACGUAGGGGGCUAGCGUUGUCCGGAAUCAUUGGGCGUAAAGAGCGUGUAGGCGGCCCGGUAAGUCCGCUGUGAAAGUCGGGGGCUCAACCCUCGAAUGCCGGUGGAUACUGUCGGGCUAGAGUGCGGAAGAGGUGAGUGGAAUUCCUGGUGUAGCGGUGAAAUGCGCAGAUAUCAGGAGGAACACCAAUUGCGAAGGCAGCUCGCUGGGACGUAACUGACGCUGAGACGCGAAAGCGUGGGGAGCAAACAGG
RNAcentral lists this ribosomal RNA (253 nucleotides) under uncultured bacterium. RNAcentral describes it as "partial 16S ribosomal RNA". It matches the Rfam family "Bacterial small subunit ribosomal RNA", at positions 524 to 776 of the family's 1533-position model. The record is from RNAcentral.